AGCCGGCUAUCAUAGAGAGCACUUUCAGAACGCAACGGACGCAGGAUGGACCGGGACCGGAGCAAAUAUGGCAUCGCGAAUCUCUUAAUUGAUCGAGGCAGUUCUGACAUGGACCGGUGCCGGGAAGCAAAUGUCGCGCCAUAUCUAUCUACUUGAAUGCGACGAACGCAGAAUGAAUCGAUUCCGGGACGAAUGGCAUUGCAAAUUACUUAAUUGAUCGUGACAAUCGACAUGGAUCGGUUCCGGGGCGGAUGACAUCGCGAUAUUUAUUUGGGUCAUGAAAAGAAGUGCUGAAGGCAGAAAAGGUAGAGGUAGCAGAAGAGAAUCUUUCAGUAGAGGAAGAGGCGGCAAUAAUGGAGGUUUCAAAAGUCGGAGGUGGUAGAUUUAAUCGUUCAGGUGGAGGUCGAGGAGGAGACAGAGGAAGAUGGUAGAUUUAAAAUAUGUGUAUACUAGAAUAAAUCCUUAAAAUAUGAAUUAUAAUGAUCAAUCUUGUAAAUGACAAAGGGAUUAAAUUUUAUACAAGUUAAUUUUUCUAAAUUUUCUUUAAUGGUUUUAAUUGUAUAAUAAGUGUCAUUAUUUAUAUGUUGUGUUAUGUGUUAUACGGAUUUGACGGCAUAAGGCGCGCGUGCGUGCGUGCACAUAUCCAUAAAAAAUAUAAUAAUCAAUCCUGA
RNAcentral lists this long non-coding RNA (671 nucleotides) under Monomorium pharaonis (pharaoh ant). RNAcentral's name for it is "uncharacterized LOC118648200, transcript variant X3". The record is from RNAcentral. Lineage: Eukaryota; Metazoa; Arthropoda; Insecta; Hymenoptera; Formicidae.